Molecule: ribosomal RNA, 250 nt
Filed under: uncultured prokaryote
Description: partial 16S ribosomal RNA
Rfam family: Bacterial small subunit ribosomal RNA
Source: RNAcentral
CGUAGGUGGCGAGCGUUAUCCGGAAUUAUUGGGCGUAAAGAGCGCGCAGGUGGUUGAUUAAGUCUGAUGUGAAAGCCCACGGCUUAACCGUGGAGGGUCAUUGGAAACUGGGAGACUUGAGUGCAGAAGAGGAGAGUGGAAUUCCAUGUGUAGCGGUGAAAUGCGCAGAGAUAUGGAGGAACACCAGUGGCGAAGGCGGCUCUCUGGUCUGUAACUGACGCUGAUGUGCGAAAGCGUGGGGAGUCAAACA